Molecule: small RNA, 29 nt
Filed under: Bombyx mori (domestic silkworm)
Lineage: Eukaryota; Metazoa; Arthropoda; Insecta; Lepidoptera; Bombycidae
Description: ovarian small RNA-9506
Source: RNAcentral
UUCAAUGGUCCUACGCACUCGUCAUAAGA